This 468-nucleotide ribosomal RNA is filed under the name uncultured bacterium. RNAcentral's name for it is "partial 16S ribosomal RNA". It matches the Rfam family "Bacterial small subunit ribosomal RNA", at positions 28 to 507 of the family's 1533-position model. The record is from RNAcentral.
GACGAACGCUGGCGGCGUGCUUAACACAUGCAAGUCGAACGGAAAGGCCCUGCUUUUGUGGGGUGCUCGAGUGGCGAACGGGUGAGUAACACGUGAGUAACCUGCCCUUGACUUUGGGAUAACUUCAGGAAACUGGGGCUAAUACCGGAUAGGAGCUCCUGCUGCAUGGUGGGGGUUGGAAAGUUUCGGCGGUUGGGGAUGGACUCGCGGCUUAUCAGCUUGUUGGUGGGGUAGUGGCUUACCAAGGCUUUGACGGGUAGCCGGCCUGGGAGGGUGACCGGCCACAUUGGGACUGAGAUACGGCCCAGACUCCUACGGGAGGCAGCAGUGGGGAAUAUUGUACAAUGGGAGGAAGCCUGAUGCAGCAACGCCGCGUGCGGGAUGACGGCCUUCGGGUUGUGAACCGCUUUCGCCUGUGACGAAGCGUGAGUGACGGUAAUGGGUAAAGAAGCACCGGCUAACUACGUG